CGAAAUGCGAUAAGUAAUGUGAAUUGCAGAAUUCAGUGAAUCAUCGAAUCUUUGAACGCACAUUGCGCCCAUUAGUAUUCUAGUGGGCAUGCCUGUUCGAGCGUCAUUUCAACCCUUAAGCCUAGCUUAGUGUUGGGAACUUACCUGACUGGUAAUUCCUCAAAUUCAGUAGGCAGAGUUUAGGUAUUCUCUGAGCGUAGUAACUACUAUCUCGCUUUUGAAGUUACCUAUACCCUAGCCAUAAGAGGCCCGUCGAGAGGCGGAAUCUUUUUUUCUUAGGUUGACCUCGGAUCAGGUAGGAAUACCCGCUGAACUUAAGC
Molecule: unclassified non-coding RNA, 320 nt
Filed under: plant metagenome
Description: partial contains 5.8S ribosomal RNA, internal transcribed spacer 2, and large subunit ribosomal RNA
Rfam family: 5.8S ribosomal RNA (bases 1-106)
Source: RNAcentral